Molecule: ribosomal RNA, 253 nt
Filed under: uncultured bacterium
Lineage: Bacteria
Description: partial 16S ribosomal RNA
Rfam family: Bacterial small subunit ribosomal RNA
Source: RNAcentral
UACGAAGGGGGCUAGCGUUGUUCGGAAUUACUGGGCGUAAAGCGUAUGCAGGCGGAUCGUUAAGUCGGGGGUGAAAUCCCGAGGCUCAACCUCGGAACUGCCUUCGAUACUGGCGAUCUUGAGUCCGGGAGAGGUGAGUGGAACUCCGAGUGUAGAGGUGAAAUGCGUAGAUAUCUGGAGGAACACCGGUGGCGAAGGCGGCAUCCUGGACCGGUAUUGACGCUGAGGCGCGAAAGCCAGGGGAGCAAACGGG